GCCGGGCACGGUGGUGCACGCCUGUAGUCCCAGCUACUCGGGAGGCUGAGACAGGAGGAUUGCUUGAGUCCAGGAGUUCUGGGCUGUAGUGUGCUAUGCCGAUCGGGUGUCCGCACUAAGUUCGGCAUCAAUAUGGUGACCUCCCGGGAGCGGGGGACCACCAGGUUGCCUAAGGAGGGGUGAACCGGCCCAGGUCGGAAAAACUGCUGCCAAGUGAAAUCUGAGUUCCGUUGUCCUCCCUACCCUUACACUGUUCGUGUGGGAGUUAAGAAACUUCACUGAGUCAGGUGAGUUAGGCAAGUUCCUUACCCUC
Molecule: unclassified non-coding RNA, 313 nt
Organism: Rattus norvegicus (Norway rat)
Lineage: Eukaryota; Metazoa; Chordata; Mammalia; Rodentia; Muridae
Product: Metazoan signal recognition particle RNA
Source: Ensembl